CUCGUCUCUGUUUCAAGUUUUCUGCAAACUUGGCUGAAAGCUCUGUUUGUUCUAUUAUACACGACGAUAGCAGACAGCAGAGUACAAUCUGAAGAGAAACACAAAGAGAAGAAAAGAAAGCUAAGAGAAUAUGAAGAGAAGGAAAUAGAUAGAAGACUUUGCGUAUCGAUCUUCCAGAGGAGAAAGAAGCAGUAGCAGAAGACGAAUCAGAAGUUUCAAAGAGGACCUUGAAAAAAAUCUAGGCUUGAUUUUAUUUAUCCAAAGCAAAGAAUAUGAACUUCAAAGAUUUCGAUCCUCACGAUUGUGAUUGAACUGAAUAAGUGAAAAAUGCAGUGGAAAA
Long non-coding RNA from Macadamia integrifolia, 340 nucleotides. RefSeq lists it as uncharacterized. The transcript has 2 exons. Lineage: Eukaryota; Viridiplantae; Streptophyta; Magnoliopsida; Proteales; Proteaceae. The record is from RefSeq and is a predicted model, not a curated record.